RNAcentral lists this ribosomal RNA (453 nucleotides) under Arthrobacter sp. HTCC345. Its description in RNAcentral is "bacterial SSU rRNA". It matches the Rfam family "Bacterial small subunit ribosomal RNA", at positions 26 to 491 of the family's 1533-position model. The record is from RNAcentral. Lineage: Bacteria; Bacillati; Actinomycetota; Actinomycetes; Micrococcales; Micrococcaceae.
AGGAUGAACGCUGGCGGCGUGCUUAACACAUGCAAGUCGAACGAUGAUGCCCAGCUUGCUGGGUGGAUUAGUGGCGAACGGGUGAGUAACACGUGAGUAACCUGCCCUUAACUCUGGGAUAAGCCUGGGAAACUGGGUCUAAUACCGGAUAUGACUCCUCAUCGCAUGGUGGGGGGUGGAAAGCUUUUUGUGGUUUUGGAUGGACUCGCGGCCUAUCAGCUUGUUGGUGAGGUAAUGGCUUACCAAGGCGACGACGGGUAGCCGGCCUGAGAGGGUGACCGGCCACACUGGGACUGAGACACGGCCCAGACUCCUACGGGAGGCAGCAGUGGGGAAUAUUGCACAAUGGGCGCAAGCCUGAUGCAGCGACGCCGCGUGAGGGAUGACGGCCUUCGGGUUGUAAACCUCUUUCAGUAGGGAAGAAGCGAAAGUGACGGUACCUGCAGAAGAAGC